RNAcentral lists this ribosomal RNA (500 nucleotides) under uncultured Myrionecta. RNAcentral describes it as "SSU rRNA". It matches the Rfam family "Eukaryotic small subunit ribosomal RNA", at positions 34 to 600 of the family's 1831-position model. The record is from RNAcentral. Lineage: Eukaryota; Ciliophora; Litostomatea; Cyclotrichida; Mesodiniidae.
AUGUUCAAGAUAGCCAUGCACGUCUAAGUACAAACUAAAUGAUGGUGAAACUGCAAAUGGCUCAUUACAACGGUUAUGAUGUACCCGGGAGUUCCGAUGGAUAUUUCCAGUAACACUAGAACUAAUACAUGUCCCUGCGUUUAUUAGUUUCGCACAGUCCGUCGCUGAGUCAUGGUAAACAGUUGAUCGACUCGACGUCCCGGAACAGUUUCCGCCCCAUCAGCUUCGAUGGUUGGGUAUUGGCCUACCAUUGCAACAACGGGUAACGAGGAAUUAGGGUUUGAUUUCGGAGAGGGAGCCUGAGAAACGGCUACCACAUCUACGGAUGGCAGCAGGCGCGCAAAUUACCCAAUGCAGACACUGUGAGGUAGUGACGAGAAAUAAUAAAGCGGGACUUCUGUUUCGCUAUUAUAAUGAGGAAUAACCAAAGGUCAUUCCGAUUAGCAACUGAUGGGAAAGUCUGGUGCCAGCAGCCGCGGUAAUACCAGCGUCAGUAGCAU